RNAcentral lists this long non-coding RNA (1000 nucleotides) under Homo sapiens (human). RNAcentral's name for it is "novel transcript". The record is from RNAcentral. Lineage: Eukaryota; Metazoa; Chordata; Mammalia; Primates; Hominidae.
AUGGAGGGCGGAGGGACAGCCACCCUGUUGUGUAGCUCGGAGCAGCUGUGUCCUUCAGUGCAGGUCCAGCCAAGAGCCGUGGGCCACAGAUGACGCUGGUGGGGAAGCAGAGGGCAGACUAGGCAGAGGCAAGGCUUUCCUGUGCCCUGAGCUGUCAGAGAUGGGCCAGGGCCUUCAGCUUCCUCGAUAGGGCAGAAGUGACCACGCUGGCUCCAUUCAGCAAAGGACGUGGACGGAGCUGCCGGGCUUGUCUGAGAGGAGGAGAAAUGUGGAAUUGAGUGAGGCUCUCUAAGAAGGUUCUGCUGGAGUUGAGAAAAAUUAGGGUGAGGCACCUCCCCGAUUUUAUGUCCUUUUUCCUGGGUCCAGCCUCCUGAACAGCUACCAUUCGCUUCUGUGAGACACCUGUCGGUGCCUCCUUUUCCAGCCCUUAAUGGAACGUUCCUCUCCCAGCCACCUCAGACUUCCCAUACCACCCUCCCUGGACAGGAAGCGUUUUUACAGGAGUUUGAAGCUUCAGGAGUGCCCUCCGGCCACAUGAAGACAAGGCGCUAACAAACAUGGCGUUCUGCAAAUUGCACCAUCGCCAACUCCUGUCUUACUCUCACAGAGGAUAAUAACCUGUGCAGAGAGAGGGUCUCCUGUCCUGAAGUCACAGCCCGGAUCUCCAGGCUGGCUCUGCUGCCUCUGAAUGAUUUGUGGGUCACACACGCCAACAGCAUCGCCAAGGGCUGACAUCAGCCUGCUUGAGCCACGGAAACUGAAUGGGCAAGGAUGAGUUCCCCAGCACAGAGGGAGGCAUCCUCUGUCAAGACCAUCUGCGCAUGUGCUGUGCAGUCUCCAGUCUGCACUGUGAGCAGUGUGUCUCAACGGCUUUUGAGAACUGCUUCGAGAGGGGACCAGAUGCGCAGAGACAAGCUUCCAGCCUGGCUAGGGACGGACCCUCUGGGGAUGCUCCUCUCUGGCCGGGCAGCAGUAGAAGCACCUGCCUCCAUCCACAUCC